GACGAACGCUGGCGGCGUGCUUAACACAUGCAAGUCGAACGGAAAGGCCCUGCUCUUGUGGCGUGCUCGUGUGGCGAACGCGUGAGUAACACGCGAGUAACCCGCCCUUGACUUUGGGAUAACUUUAGGAAACUGGGGCUAUUACCGGAUAGAAUCUCCUGCUGCACGGUGGGGGUUGGAAAGUUUCGGCGGUUGGGGAUGGGCUGGCGGCUUAUGCGCUUCUUGGUCGGGUAGUGGAAUACCAAGGCUUUGACGGGUAGCCGGCCUGGGAGGGUGACCGGCCACCUGAGUACUGAGAGACGGCGCAGAAUCCAACGGGAGGCAAUAGGGGAGAGUAUGGCGGAAUAAGCGGGAGCCUGAGGCAGCAACGCCGCGAGCGGGAUAACGGGCUUCGAGUUGUAAACAGCUUUCGAAUGUGACGAAGCGUGAGUGACGGUAAUGGGUAAAGAAGCACCGGCUAACUACGUG
This 468-nucleotide ribosomal RNA is filed under the name uncultured bacterium. RNAcentral describes it as "partial 16S ribosomal RNA". It matches the Rfam family "Bacterial small subunit ribosomal RNA", at positions 28 to 507 of the family's 1533-position model. The record is from RNAcentral.